Molecule: ribosomal RNA, 253 nt
Filed under: uncultured bacterium
Lineage: Bacteria
Description: partial 16S ribosomal RNA
Rfam family: Bacterial small subunit ribosomal RNA
Source: RNAcentral
UACAGAGGCCUCGAGCGUUAGGCGGAAUCACUGGGCUUAAAGCGUGUGUAGGCGGCCCCCUAAGUACCUUGUGAAAUCCCACGGCUCACCCGUGGAACGGCUGGGUAUACUGGGGGUCUUGAGCCACCUAGGGGCGAGUGGAACAAAUGGUGGAGCGGUGAAAUGCGUAGAUAUCGGGAGGAACACCAGUGGCGAAGGCGAUCACCUGGGGUUGUUCUGACGCUGAGGAGCGAAAGCUAGGGGAGCAAACGGG